This is a long non-coding RNA of Globicephala melas (long-finned pilot whale), 6904 nucleotides long. RefSeq lists it as uncharacterized. Lineage: Eukaryota; Metazoa; Chordata; Mammalia; Artiodactyla; Delphinidae. The record is from RefSeq and is a predicted model, not a curated record.
UCCUGCCGUGUAUGACUCAUAACUCCAGCAUUCAAGGUCCAGAAAAAUGGCAACGCUGGGAACUUGCUGAGCAGUAAGUCUUGCUCCUGGGGUCUCCCUUCAAGUCCCCCAAAGGUAUUAUACACCUCAGUACAGAGCCAAGGAUGCAAGAUGAACACACAAGUCAACUGAGUGUGGGGCAAAGUUUGUUUGAUUAGAGAUCGCAGCAUGUGGAAUCACAAGAACUAGAGUUUGAAUCCCGAUUCUAACCAAACUGUUUCAGCUUCCUGCCCUUGAGUGAAUCAUUUAUCAAUUCCUUCGUUUUUGAGGCAGAUAGCAGCACGGAGAUUUUUGAUUGGGGAGGGGGGAAUCCCUAAUCCCUGUGAUGUUCAAGGGUCAACCGUAUUUUUCAAGGGCAAGGUGUGGAACGAUAUGCAUAUGUUACCAAGUGAAAAAAGCAGGCUUGAGAGUGUAAAGACUUAGCCACAAAGGUGAAGAUAACAUUUGCAAUGUAACAAAACAUUUCUUUGCACCAUGAGAAAAGACAAGAAACUAAGAGGAAGAAAAUGGUAAGAGACCAGGUAUUUACAAGCGAGGACAUCCAAAUGGCCAAUAAGCAGGAAAACAUGCUGAGCUUCACGAGUGAUAGGAAAAUACCAAUUAAAACCACCAUUAAAUAUAGCAUUACAGACCUGCUGAUUGGCUUUAAGUUUUAAAGACUCACAAUACCCAGUGUCAGUGAGGAUGUGAAGUAACAAACUUUCCUACACUGCUGGUUGGAGUAUAAGCUGGUACAGCCACUAUGAAGACAAUUUGGUAGUAUCUACUGAAGUUGAAGAUAUUCACACUCUGACUCAGCAAUUCUACUCCUAAGUAUAUAACCAUCAGAAAUGUGUGUACCUGUUCACCAGAUACAGAUACAAAAAUAUUCUCAGGAGCCUUACCUUCAAUAGCCCCUGUAAGUUCUGCACACUCAAUUUCAAUGCUUGGGGAGGGUUUUCCUCACACCAGCAAGCAAUUCCCUGACCCCAGCUGGGUGUCCUACCAUUCAACUCAAUUCUGACACAGUCUACCCAGGGAGAGCAACUGAUUCCACAGGUUAAGGACUGAGUGCCACAAGACAGCCCGCUACUGCAAUUGACACUCACAAACCCAGGUUAGCUUCCGACCAACUGGCUAUACAUCAGAAGUUCCCACAACCCCUUCCUUGGGUUCAAUUUAUAUACGGGCUCACUGAACUCAGGAAACCUGUUUACUCGCUAGAUUACUGGUUUAUUACCAAGGAUAUUAAAGGAUACAAAUCAACAGCCACAUGAAGAGGUACAUAGAGUGAAGUCCUGAACAAAGGAGUUUCUGUCCUCAUGAAAUUUUAAACCCUGCACGGUGGCACGUGGAAACUCUCUGGUUUCCUAACCUGGAAGCUCCAAACCCCCUCACUUUGUGUUUUUAUGAAGGCUUCACUACGUUGUCACUGUUGACUAAGUCAUUGGCCUUUAGUGACUGAUUCAACCUUCAGCCUCUCACCCCUCCUUGGAGGUCAUGGGACAGGGGAAGUGGAAGGGGGACUGAAGAUUCCAACCCUCUCAAUAUAUGAUUAGUUGCCUGGCAACCAGCCCCUAUUCUUAAGGUGCUUUCCAAAAGUCACCUCAUUUACAUAAAACCAGUUGUGGUAGAAAGGGGCUUGUUAUGAAUAACAAGACACCCAUUCUGCCUUUGGGGAAGGUACUAAGGACAAGAGACCAAUCAUUAGAACAAAACAUCGUUCCCAUUGCUCUUAUCGCUCAGGAAAUUUCAAGGAUUUGGGGAACAAUGAGCCAGGAACCACAGACAAACACCAAAAAUGUAUUUCUUAUAUACCACAAUAUCACAGCCCUAAACAGGAAACAACCCAAAUGUUCACCAAGAGUAGAAUAUAUAAACUGUAGCAUAUUUACAUAGUGGAAUAGUGCACCCAGCAGUAAAAGUGAACGAACUAUAGCUACGUACAACAUGAACCUAACAAAACGGGCAAAGCAGCUCAUUACAAAAAGAUAUGUAGGACUUCCCUGGUGGCGCAGUGGUUAAGAAUCCGCCUGCCAGUGCAGGAGACAUGGGUUUGAGCCCUGGUCCGGGAAGAUCCCACAUGCUGCAGAGCAACGAAGCCCAUGCGCCACAACUACUGAGCCUGCGCUCCAGAACCCACAGGCCACAACUACUGAAGUCUACACGCUUAGAGCCCAUGCUCCACAACAGGAGAAGACGCCACAAUAAGAAGUCCGCACACCGCAAUGAAGAGUAGCCCUUGCUCACCGCAACUAGAGAAAGCCUGUACGCAGCAACGAAGACCCAACGCCGCCAAAAAUAAAUAAAUAAAUAAAUAAUGUAAAAAGAGUUAAAUAAGGUAAUAUGUACAAAAGGGCUUUUCAAAACACAGAAUUAUGAUUUAGACUGUGUGGGUGGAGAAGAACAAGCUUUAUGCCCUAAUCCAAUGAUUCAAUUUAACUAUAUAUAAACUGCCGAUCUAGGAGGGUCUACACAGCCAGGGCAGAGCUGGAACUGGAACCCUGAACUCCAGAUGCCAAGCGCAGUGCUUUUUUCCAAGCCGUUAUGUUACAAGCCUUUAGCAGGUUGACAGUGAGGCUGGAGCAUCACUCAGUCACACAGCCCAGGUUUGUGUCCACACCUGCACCUGUCACUCACAGUGUACCCUGGAGCAAGACCCUCACACCCUCUGGGUCUUUGUUAUCUUUUCACACCAAAGAGUUGGGCUACAUGCCAAUCUAGGAAUUACAUUCUAAGGUGUGAUCCCAGGGCCAACACACACACACACACACACACACACACUCCUUUUACUUGGCCACAAAAUGGGCUUUGCAAUUGUAUGAAUUCCCAACACCGCCCCCCCUCACCUUCUAGGACUGCUCAUUGCUUUAGAUCAAGUCAAGUCCAAAUACCUCUUCUUAACAUCCAAAGCCCUACCAUCACCAAACUGCCCUUCUAGUUCAUCACUAAACCACCUGAAGUUCUCAGCCUACUGUGCUCCCCACUGUCCCCACAUGUUCCUGCCACUUCCCCACCUCCGUGGUUUGGUUUAUGCUAUUCCUGAAUCGCCACCCCUUCCCCAUUGUUAGCAAGAUCCUGCCUUUCUUUAAUGUAGGAGGAUGGUGGGAAGGAUCCCGAUUCACCUGACCCACCACAUGCAUGUGCCGUGUCACCAGGGUGUAAUGCUGUGGGGGACUAGGUCCACGUUCUGUUCUUCUCAGUUUCCCCAGAGCGCUCAGUGAUACGCCUCCACACACGUAGCAAGGGCUCCACAACAAACACUUUCUGCUUUUGAGUUUGAAAUUUUUUGUGGAGUGGGGGGAGAAAAAAGGAUCCAGAGAAGGGACGGGAUUGGCCUAACAUUACACAGCAGAUCAAGGAUACUUCCAAGAUAGCGGAGCCAGAAAGGAAGCCUGGCUCACCUCACUUCUAGCCAACAAGCCUGAUCUGUUUUUUCCCCUAUUGAUGAGGUGAAUAACUGAGCAUUUAAAAUGUGUGUGUGUAUGUGUAUUGGGAUUCUAUUUGUAAGAGUAAAAAAUUGAAAGCCACCAAACUAAGAAUACUUUAUGGUACUUCUUGACUAUAAAAGCUUAUGAAGUCAUUAAACCAUUUUAAUAGAGUCAUUUGGAAUCUUUAAAAAAUGGUUUAGAGCAUAGAAGGAAUGAGAUACAUGGGAAAAGAGCCAGGACAGGUUGUCAAUGAAAACCAGUGUAGGGGAAUAUGAGUAACAAUUCAUCUGCAUAAAAAGGAAGCAUACACACUCACUUACACACAUGUAUGCAGGCACACACCAAACACCUGCAUUAGAAACUGACCUAAAUUAUUAACGGUGUUUUGCUGCACUGGGAGAAUUACAUGGAAAUUUUUCCUAUUUUAUGUUCAUAUGUAGUAUGUGUGUGUUUUAUAAUGAACAUUCACUAACUUUAUAAUCAGAAGAAAUAAAGAUCCAUCCAUUUUGAAAAUAUAAAAUGUAAAAAUCUUAAAAUUUGUAUGGAGACACAAAUGACCCAAAUAGGCAAAGCAAUUUUGAGGGAAAAACAAACAAAGAAACAACAACAACAAAAACCAGCUGGAGGAAUCAGGCUCCCUGACUUCAGACUAUAGUCAUCAAGACAGUAUGGUACCGGCACAAAAACAGAAAUAUAGAUCAAUGAAACAGGAUAGAAAGUCCAGAAAUAAACCCACACACCUACAGUCACUUAAUCUACGACAAAGGAGGCAACACUAUACAAUGGAGGAAAGACAGUCUCUUCAAUAAAUGCUGCUGGGAAAACUGGACAGCUACAUGUAAAAAAUGAAAUUAGAGGACUUCCCUGGUGUUGCAGUGGUUAAGAAUCCACCUGCCAAUGCAGGGGACAUGGGUUUGAGCCCUGGUCCAGGAAGAUCCCACAUGCCACAAAGCAACCAAGCCUGUGUGCCACAACUACUAGAGCCUGUGCUCUAGAGCCUGUGGGCCACAACUAUUGAAGCCCACGUGCCUAGAGCCCAUGCUCCACAACAAGACAAGCCACCCCAAUAAGAAGCCUCUGCACCACAACGAAGAGUAGCCCCCGCUCAUCGCAACUAGAGAAAGCCCGCACGCAGCAACAAUUACCCAAUGCAGCCAAAAAUUAAAAUAAAUUUAUUUAAAAAAGAAUUAGAACAUUCUCUAAUACCAUUAAACUCAAAAUGGAUUAAAGACCUAAAUGCAAGACUGGGUACUAUAAAAUUCUUAGAGGAAAACACAGGCAGAACACUAUUUGACAUAAAUCACAGCAAUAUCUUUCAAUUUGUCUCUGAGAGGAAUGGAAAUAAAAACAAAAUAAACAAAUGGGACCCAGUUAAACUCAAAAACUUUUGCACAGCAAAGGAAACCACAAACCAAACAAACAAAAAGAACCCACAGAAUCAGAGAAAAUAUUUGCAAACAAUGCAACCGACAGGGAUUAACCUUCAAAAUAUACAAACAACUCAUGCAGCUCAAUAUCAAAAAAACAACCCAAUCAAAAAAUGGGCAGAAGACCUAAAUAGACAUUUCUCCAAAGAAGGCAUACAGAUGGCCAAGAUGCACAUGGAAACAUGCUCAACAUCGCUAAUUAUUAGAGAAAUGCAAAUCAAAACUACAAUGAGGUAUCACCUCACACCAGUCAGAAUGGCCAUCAGCAAAAAGUCUACAAACAAUAAAUGCUGGAGACGGUGUGAAGAGAAGGGAACUCUCCUACACUAUUGGUGAGAAUGUAAAUUGGUACAACCACUAUGGAGAACAGUAUUGAGGUUCCUUAAAAGACUAAAAACAGAGCUAUCAUGUGAUCCAGCAACCCCACCCCUGCGCAUAUAUCUGGAGAAAACCAUGGUUUGAAAGGAUACACACACCCCAAUGUUCACUGCAGCACUGUUUACAAUAGCCAAGACAUGGAAGCAGUGGAAUAUUACUCAGCCUUUAAAAAGAAUGAAAUGCCAUUUGCAGCAACAUGGAUGGGCCUAGAGAUUAUCAUACUAAGUGAAGUAAGUUAGACAAAGAAAGACAAAUAUCAUGUAAUAUCACUUACAUGCAGAAUCUUUAAAAAUGAUACAAAUGAACUUAUUUACAGAAGAGAAACAGACUCACAGACUUAGAACAAACUUAGAAUUACUGGGUGGGGAAGGGGGGCAGGGAUAGAUUGGAAGUUUGGGAUUGACAUGUACGCACUGCUACAUUUAAAACAGAUAACCAACAAGGACCAACUGUAUAGCAAAGGGAGCUCUGCUCAAUAUUCUGUAAUAAGCUAAAUGGGAGAAGAAUUUGAAGACUAAAUACUUGUAUAUGUAUAUCUGAAUCACUUCGGGUAUACACCUGAAACUAACACAACACUGUGAAUCAAUGAUACUCCAAUAUAAAAUAAAUUUAAGAAAAUAUAAAAUGUAUAAAAACAGGAGAGAACUUCUUUGACAGGCAUACGUCCCACCCAGCAGAGGAAAUGACACAGAGAGAAAUGCAAACAGGCAAGCGGCUCAGCACUGAGACUGGCAAUUACUCUACUAGGUGAUCUCCCACCUGACAGCUUAAUUGCUUCCCUGAUUUAAGAGCUUCCCCAUUAAGCCCUUUGCAGCUGCAUCAAAGGAUCAAAGCCAUUCUUUACUGACAGGAACCUGAGGACAGGAGGAGGAGAGGGCUGCAGGAGAUUGUCCUGUGUGGCUCCUGAACAGUCCAAGAGCUGUUGGACUGGUAUGGGAGUCCAACACUCCCACACCAUUUCUAACAGGCCAAUUUGCUUUCUAUUCCUCUCACUCCUGAGGACGCUUUCUCGGUGCCGGUGGGAAUCACAAGGAACUGACCCAACACCUGAGGCUUAGUUCUGUCACUCAUUGCAAAACAAGAGGCCAGUCAUCUUCUCUCCCUGAACCAGAGUUUCCUGUUUUACGAAAAAACUCUGCUCAUCUCUCAAGAUUUUCCUGUCACGUUAUUUAAAAUAGAACUCCAAGGUCUGAACCUAACCUACGCAGACAUUAAGACAGGGGAUAGAUCCCCUGUGUGAAUGUGCAAAGGGCAUGAAGAUGGAUUAUUAAGUGAAAAAACUCAAGGCACAGAAAACUGUGCUGGGUUGAUCUGGUUUGGGUGGGAGAUAUAAAUUCCCUGCUUUUAUGUGCUAGAUGAUUUCUCUCUAGGCUCUUGAAAAGCUGAGAUGGUCUGAGGGAGACAGGGCUGACAUGAGCAAGGAAGCCUUUAUUUUUCAUUUUCAAACCAUCGGGCUCUGUCUGAAUUUUAUUUUAUCUUGUACUAAUUUUCUUAUGAUUUAAAUUAAAAUAGACAAUGGUAUCUAGUUUAAAAGGCGCAUGAGCUAGUUAAAAAGACUAAAUGAAGCUGUGUGUAUAAAACUUUUCUGUAAAGUUUAAACAACUCACCACUAUCUUUUUUUUUUUAAUAAAUUAAUUUUAUUUAUUUUUA